GACGAACGCUGGCGGCGUGCUUAACACAUGCAAGUCGAACGGAAAGGCCCGUCGGGGUACUCGAGUGGCGAACGGGUGAGUAACACGUGGGUGAUCUGCCCUGCACUUUGGGAUAAGCCUGGGAAACUGGGUCUAAUACCGAAUAGGACCACGCGCUUCAUGGUGUGUGGUGGAAAGCUUUUGCGGUGUGGGAUGGGCCCGCGGCCUAUCAGCUUGUUGGUGGGGUAAUGGCCUACCAAGGCGACGACGGGUAGCCGGCCUGAGAGGGUGACCGGCCACACUGGGACUGAGAUACGGCCCAGACUCCUACGGGAGGCAGCAGUGGGGAAUAUUGCACAAUGGGCGCAAGCCUGAUGCAGCGACGCCGCGUGAGGGAUGACGGCCUUCGGGUUGUAAACCUCUUUCACCAGGGACGAAGCGUAAGUGACGGUACCUGGAGAAGAAGCACCGGCCAACUACGUG
RNAcentral lists this ribosomal RNA (462 nucleotides) under uncultured bacterium. RNAcentral's name for it is "partial 16S ribosomal RNA". It matches the Rfam family "Bacterial small subunit ribosomal RNA", at positions 28 to 507 of the family's 1533-position model. The record is from RNAcentral.